Molecule: long non-coding RNA, 2101 nt
Organism: Xenopus laevis (African clawed frog)
Lineage: Eukaryota; Metazoa; Chordata; Amphibia; Anura; Pipidae
Exons: 7
Source: RefSeq, a predicted model, not a curated record
UGUGUGAGUACAGCCGCCUUCACAAUAAUUGAGUGUGUCUACUCCUGUGCUCCCCUGCGGCUGAACGGAAGAAAGCGCAACUCAGGGGAGUACAGGAAAAAACCGGGCAUGUGUGAGAGCCCUAAAGGAAAUAUUCUGAUUAUGGGCAGCACCGUUAUAUGUCUAUUGCACCCAUGCCUGACCCCCCUCCUCGUGUUGUGUAUUGUAUUUGUGGUGCUGCAUUUGUGUGUGUAUUUCUGAUUGGAAAUAAAUACAGACUGCAACAGACGUCUAUGGGUGGUCAUUAAGUCGCAUAGUUAAUGAUUAAAAGGGGGGAUAUUUACAUUUAUAUCACUUGCUUAUGAACAAUAUAAUAGGGGGAAUGGCGUCCCACUUAUAGGGAGCUGCCAUAUUAUUUACUUCCAAUGAGCUAAGCCUGUAAAUAACUCUGUGCAUCUGUUAUUAAGAUAUAGAUAUACAUGCCUGUCUCUUUUACUGGGUCUGGUGUAUAUACAAAUAUUGUAUUUCUGUGCCCCACUUACUUCAUACUCAGGAGAGCACUAUGUGAGGCUGCUGAUUGGUUGUUGACCUGGCUGGGACCCUUAUGUAACUCCAGCUGUUGCUGAACUACAGCUCCCAGCAUUUCCUACUAACCAGGCGUGACAAGUGCCAGACAGCAGUUUGCAGUGUAUGGAAGUGCUGACGUACAGACGCUGGACAGACAAGUGCAGGAGCUGAAGUUGAGACAAAGGGAUGAGAAAGCUGCAAUGAGGCGAAUAGAGGAGGCGCCUGGCUCUGCCCUAGUCUAAUAAUGACACAAUCUUGGAACAUUUAGCCAGUGUCUCCUAUUUUGUGCAGCUGCUGAAAGUCUGCUGAAUGAUAAAUCUGCCCAAAUGCUGGAGCAGUCGGCACACGGCCUAGAGAAAGAAGUGCAAGGGACCAACAUCAGCAGCCCUGACACCCACAGGGAGUUUUAUCUCUAUGACCCCAGAACCCUGAUAUAGGACGUGGACCACCCAUCUUGUAGAGAAUCCAGCCCCAGGCAAAGCACCAGCUUUGUUAUGUCUGUAUAUGCCAGUGGAUACAUGAGUAUACAGGCUACAUUCAAUGAUGGGGAAUGGAGGGAGAUUCCCAGGAAUGACCAUUAGAAACAGAAUCUCCAACCAGUUAAUCCAGUGUGAGAAUGCUUGGUGGAGCAGCUGUACCCACAGGAGGACUGACACGUGUCACUCACAGAUGAAGGAGUAUCACAGAAGGCGACCACUCCAGCACCAACGGGAGGAAAGAAAAAAGAAUGAGAUCCUGAUAACCCGGCACAGCUCUCUCCAGAGCCAACUGAGAAUCACUGCAGACAGAUUUCCAGCAUGAGAUGCUCCAGCUACUGUUGAACUACAAAUCCCACAAUCCCUGGAUGUUGUUGGGAGAUAAGAAUCCCAGGCAGCAUAAAAGAAGAUGAUGAUGAUGAUUGGUUGAAGAAUGGGAUGGUAUAUUCCAUUGUGUCUCACAGCAGGGGGGGUCAUUGAUGGUAAUGUUCCAGCCAUGAGACGUCUAUUCCAUUUAUGAAACACAAAGGUGUGCCUACUCUUCCAUCUGCUGGCACGGUGCAUAGCCUUGCUUGUGAUGCUGCCACUGUUGUACCUCCACCUGUCACUACUAACACAUUCCAGGCCCCACAACCACAUCAUGAGCAGUGCCUUUCUAGGCAGCCUGGAGCUAAAGAGUAACACAAAUGCACUCACUUGCUGCACUUGACUUGUGUUGUCAUGGAAACAGUGGCAGUUUGUACAAACCAGGGAGGCCUUUCCCAGAUCACCCAUUGGAAGUGGUGUUGGGCUCUCAGAUCUCUCUCAGGAACACUCGUGGCAAACCUGUCCCUUUUUGGCUUCACUCGCACAAACACACGUACCCUGUGAGGUGACUAUUUACCCAGCAGCCUCAUUUGGGAGCACAUUGAAAAUCUAUUCUGCCAUCAGUUUGAAACUCAAUGAGAAUCCUCAUUGUCUCCUCCUGUUCUCACUUGCAGGGCAGUAUAAAUGACCCAGAUUUGCUAAACCACUGUAAUGUUGGCAAUACUUUCCCUUUAAAUGUGACAGGACUGCAGGCUUACAUAGAUCUUCUCUUU